GCGCGGCGAGGCGUGGUCGCGUGGCGGGAGCCCCGCGGUGGGGCCUUCGGCUCGCGUGGUGACGAGUGUCCCGACGCGCUCUGGAGGUCCGAGGCUGCUUCUCAGCCAGCCAGAGACUACUGCAGAAGAUGAGACGGAGGAGCCCGGCUUUGCCUCCUGCUCCUGGCCUGCAGCACCUUCUCCACCUGAGGCCACAAGGUGUAAUGUCGCCGCUGGAUGAUGUAAGGUCAAUACGUAGGGCCGAGUGAAAGACGCAGGCGGGAACAGAAGAGGACAGGCACUGCAGCACAGGUGGGUUUUUACAUCCCCAGCUGAACUCUAGUGGAAGGCAAUGAAAGCCUCUUUCCCACAGAGCUCCUUGAGUCGUGGAAACGGUGUAGUCUCCCUGACGGAAAGGAAAAAAUGCAAACGUAAGAGUGCACAAGAGUUCCACUUUCACGUUUGCCUCAUGAGUGCACGGAGUGUAGAGCUCAAUUCGGAAUCUGCAGCCUACCUUCGCCCUGACCUGCUGGGCCCCGCAUCUCUUCUGGGAAGAGAACUGCCUUCUGGCGGCCGUUGCUGUUCCUGUCCCGUUAAGACAUUUCCCCAUUAUGACGACAGCAAAAAAAAUCAAAAAGUCAGGUGUGAGACCCCCUCUGCGCCUUUUGUGAUGAACAGCAUGAUCAGCAGGGGUAGUAAUUGGGCAAUGUAAGCAAGCAGAAUCACUGCCAGUUUUCUGCUAAACUCAAAACUCGAGGGCAAAAGAGUGACGGGAGGUGCUUCUCUUGUGGCAGUUAUAAAAAUCCAAGAAUACCUCCUGGUGACAACAGAAGUCCUGUGGAGUUUCGGGGAAUAAGAUCAUGAACAUUAGGUUGAAAAUGGAAACCCAACAUUGCAGGUAUAUAAUGUUCAGUCUGACUGAAGAAUUUUGGGAGUUAACGUAUUGAUCCUUGUAUCUUCUACAUUAUUUUUCAAUGUAGAAUUAAUAAAAUAUAAUACA
Molecule: long non-coding RNA, 979 nt
Organism: Candoia aspera
Lineage: Eukaryota; Metazoa; Chordata; Lepidosauria; Squamata; Candoiidae
Exons: 5
Source: RefSeq, a predicted model, not a curated record